The sequence is a small nuclear RNA, 163 nucleotides long. Its record names the gene U1. It matches the Rfam family "U1 spliceosomal RNA". From Rfam's summary of the family: U1 is a small nuclear RNA (snRNA) component of the spliceosome (involved in pre-mRNA splicing). Its 5' end forms complementary base pairs with the 5' splice junction, thus defining the 5' donor site of an intron. The record is from Ensembl.
AUGCUUACCUGGCAGGGGAGAUGCCAUGAUCACGAAGGUAGUUUUCCCAGGACGAGGCUUAUCCAUUGCACUCUGGAUGUGCUGACCCCUGAAUUUCCCCGAAUGUGGGAAACUCGACUGCAUAAUCUGUGGUAGUGGCGGACUACGUUUGAGCUUUCCCCUG